RNAcentral lists this ribosomal RNA (197 nucleotides) under uncultured bacterium. Its description in RNAcentral is "partial 16S ribosomal RNA". It matches the Rfam family "Bacterial small subunit ribosomal RNA", at positions 328 to 539 of the family's 1533-position model. The record is from RNAcentral.
ACGCUCGACACCUACGGGGGGCAGCAGUGGGGAAUAUUGCACAAUGGAGGAAACUCUGAUGCAGCGAUGCCGCGUGAGGGAAGAAGGUUUUCGGAUUGUAAACCUCUGUCUUUGGGGACGAUAAUGACGGUACCCAAGGAGGAAGCUCCGGCUAACUACGUGCCGCAGCCGCGGUAAUCUGAGCGGGCUGGCAAGGC